AGAAUCAACGCUGGCGGCGUGCCUAACACAUGCAAGUCGAACGCGAAAGGGGAGCAAUCCCUGAGUAGAGUGGCAAACGGGUGAGUAACACGUGGGUGACCUGCCUUCGAGUGGGGGAUAACGUCCCGAAAGGGACGCUAAUACCGCAUGACAUCCUGCUCUUGGACGAGCGGAGAUCAAAGCUGGGGAUUCGCAAGAACCUGGCGCUUGAAGAGGGGCCCGCGCCUGAUUAGCUAGUUGGUGGGGUAACGGCUCACCAAGGCUACGAUC
RNAcentral lists this ribosomal RNA (270 nucleotides) under uncultured soil bacterium. Its description in RNAcentral is "partial 16S ribosomal RNA". It matches the Rfam family "Bacterial small subunit ribosomal RNA", at positions 26 to 281 of the family's 1533-position model. The record is from RNAcentral.